This 1388-nucleotide long non-coding RNA is filed under the name Gallus gallus (chicken). Lineage: Eukaryota; Metazoa; Chordata; Aves; Galliformes; Phasianidae. The record is from RNAcentral.
GCUGUUCUUAAAGAACUAUAUAAAAAGUGGCAUUUAAGAAUAAAGAAAUGCAGCUUAAAGAGCAGUUUGUCACCAUUUAAAAAAAAUCUUAAUGGUAGCCUGCAUGUUUAAUACCAUUUCCACAGUAUGUCAGCUAGCACAGGCUUAGUCCAAUAAUUUAGAACUUGAGAAUAGGAAUGUCUUUUGGUUCUGAAUGCAGAUCAUAAGUCCUCAUGUCCUGUAUGUGAAGGCUCAGUUGUUCCAGUCUCCACCUCCUCUCCUGUUUUUACAGUUUGAACACAUGUUCCACCCUUAUCUUCAAAUCCUUCUGAACAUACACACUUGUAACUACCUGAAGUAUUAACACAGUCUUCAUUCUCCUUUGUGCAUACCUUUUCUGAAAGGUUACAUUCAUCUAUAUCUGUACACUUUUCAUCUUCCUUCAUGUAUCCAGAUGCGCAGGUCUUACACUUGUCAGAGCCUUCUCCUGUGCAACCUACACAGCUAGCAUCACAAGCUUUGCAUGAGAAAGAUCCAUCUGUGUUCAAACAAUACUGCUCAUCUUUGCAAGGAGAAGAGGCACAUUCAUCUAAAUCCACACAAGCUGCUUCUUCAUUUUUGAUCCAGCCUUCUUUACAGUCUUGGCAGUCCUUGUUACUUGAACCGGUACAAGUUUUACAAGCAGUGUGGCAGGCUGCACAAACUGAAUGUGUCUCAUUUCUCAAGCUACUGUAGUAACCACUAGAACAGUCCAAACAAAAUUCUCCUGUGUAUUCCUUGUUGCAGCUACAUGUGCCAUCUCCACCUCGGGUACCAUCACCGUCACAGUGGCCAUUUCCAUGACAAGGUCUUUCUGAUCCGCCACGACAAGCAAGGCAAUCUGGUCCAUAAGUUCCAGGUGGGCAACAAACUUCUAAUGUUUCUAUGCAAAACCACUUAAACAAAUCGGGAUAUUUCUUCUUUAGUUUGAACCACCAUUUCUCUAUAUGUUCUUCAUGCUCUUCUACCAUGUUGUUACAUUCAAAGUUACUGCUAUCACAGAGAUUCUCCGUGAUCUCUACAAGACGAAUUUCACUGGACUCAUACUUCGACAGUGUCUUCUCCUCCCAAGCAGUGUUUCCACCACCAAAAUUCUUCUUCGCCGUAUCCGCUAAGCCCUGGUUGAACCUGUCCACGAUACCCCGGCAGGUGGUGCACGCCAGGCGCCGCCGCUCGCCGGCGCCCAUAGCAGGAGGAGGCGGCAGCAGCAAGAGGAGGAGCAGCGCGGCGUACAGCGCGGGCAACGGCGAGCGAGGCGCGUGGCCGGGCCCCAUGGCGAGUGCAGCGCGAAAGGAUAAGGCGCGAGGCAGCCCGGCCGCGCUCCCAGCCCGCCGCAGCGCGGCCCCACAGCACCGCCUCGCCCCGCCCCG